GUACACGUAUAUUAUGUAAACAAAAACGUAUUUUGGCUGCGAUUAAUCGCGAUUAAUUGUUUGAUAGCACUAAUAUUUAAAUCUGGUUUUGAUUGAGAGCCAAUAGCAGUGAAACCCUGUAGAGAUUCAAAAAUUCAUUGGCUGGCAGCAGGCAUUAUUUGCAUAUCACGUGAUGUAUUGAGUGCGCAGAACCUGAAGUAAAAAUCCCAUUCAUUUUCUUCAUGAGGCAAGACAGACCCACUAAGCUGUAAGUUUAAAUGGUGUUAUGCUUUUGUUGAAGCGUUAUUUCAACUCAUUUUGCAAAUAUGUGGUAAUUAACCAUGAUUAUUCAAAAAAAUCUCCAAUCGGAGAAUUACAAUUUGCAUAUUUUGCAGUAAACGUAAAAUGUUUCUGUAUACACACUCGAUAUCUUUAAAUCAAUAGUUUUAUCUGUCAUUCGCAGUGCUUCUUGGGAUUGCAGUACUUUCCGGCAUGGACCGGUUUUGUGUAUUCUUUUUGCCAUUUUCAAAUACUUUUUUGCUUAAAAUCUAAAGAUUGUAAUGAUUCGGCUCAUAGCUGAUUGGUUUGAGUGAAUCGUAACUCUUUAACAAAUGCUUUUUAAAAAUGAAUGGGGAAAAAUACUCCAGAAAACCAAGGCAGCUGAAAAAGCGGUGUUGCACUCAAUUAAAGCACUUGCUGCAGAGUCUGCUGCCAACCAAUGAAAGAUUGAACUUUUAUUUAAUUAGGCUCGAUGGCAACUAGAAGUUGUUCGUCCUAUCAUAAGAAACGUGUUGGAAUAAACAGAAAAUUAUUUGGCGUCUCAGUAAAAAAGUAGCAAGUUAAAAGAACUAGUUUCAGCUUCGAAUAUUCAGGCUCACUAAAACAACCCUCAACAUCCGGUAAUAUAGUGAUUUAACGUGUGUCCCCUCCCAAUUAGUGUAAUUUGUUAAAUAGUUCAAGCACAUUAUGAAAAUAUUGUCAUUGGUGUUACGGUGAACCUUUUGGUCGGGACUCUAAAGACCGAUUUGAGUUGUUUUUCUACCGUUUUAAUCAAUUAGUAAAGGACUUAAAUGCUCUUGUCUCAUUGUAUUACUGCUUCAACGGAAUAACCUAUUGAAUAUUGUUUAUUUCAGAUACAACUGAACUGUAUGUAUUUCUGUUAAUAAAAGUCAUUACUCCGUAGCCAUUAUGGUUUAUGACUAGCUGAGAUUUAUUGGGUGGUUUUGACGUAUGAGGCCCAUGUAGCGAUUUUGUCUUUCCAUCUAGGUAAGACUAAAACUGGAGGCCACCCUUUGCCUUUAUCAGGCAUUGGCUCUAGUGCUCCAUAUUAAUGACUUUUCUUUGCAUCAGACGUGGGGAUGUCAGUAUUUUCCCAACCAUAUGUUGUCUUUAUUCUUAAAAUAUGUUUAGAGCUUUGUUCCAAUACUUUUAGUGAUCAAAUAAGACGGAUCUAUACCUUAGCUGUGUCCACUACUACGUCAUUGGAUUCUCCAGGGCUACUCCAGAGAUGUAGAAACCCAGCUGAAAAUCCAUAGGAUAAUCGCACCAGGUUUCCAGGUUUGUAGAAAUGCUCUAUACACCAGACAUUACAUCAGGUGUGCCUUUAACAUACUUUGGAUCCACCUGGAACGAAAUCAGGUAUUUGUGAGUCGUUAACGUAAAGCGUGCAUGCAACUUUAUUUCAGCUUUUCCUAAAUACUAGCUGUGAAUAGCGUUAACUGGCGGUGACCAUGUAACUUAGAGGAAAAGUGGAAAUUAGAACAUGCUCUGUAGUUCAAUGUGGUGAUUGUGGUCUAUGUAGUUAUGUCUUAAUCCAAUAUUUUAGCCGAUUUCCAGUUUAAGGUCAAACCGGAGAACGGAGCUUAUAGUUCCUGUAUACUUGAUGCAUUAGUUCCAGAUAUUAAUGACAUCAAAUGCAAAGGAGAUCAGCAUUUAUUAAGCAAGAGGGAAUGCAAUGGAAGGAUUUAAAUAAAAUCUCACUUCUAAGCGCGGCCGCUUGAUGAACCUCUGCUGCGGCUGUGAAUCCAGUUGCUCUGAAAGAUGAAGGAAGAACUCCAGUGAGUUUGCAGAGUUUGCAUAGGAGCGCAUGUGCAUGGACCUCCGAGAGGCAAGAUGCCCAUGACCUGUGCCAAGAUGAUGCCAUGAUAAUGGUACUCGGAAGGCAGCUGCAUUCGGUUCCUGUGACUGGAAUUGAAUCAAAUGCAUAAUGGCGAAGUGAUAGGAAUCAUUGAACAAGAAUAAUCCUGGCAUUGAAUGUCUGAUGAAUUCAAUAAAAUAAUAAAAAAAAAUAACUGGA
Sinocyclocheilus anshuiensis is the source of this 2275-nucleotide long non-coding RNA. RefSeq lists it as uncharacterized. The transcript has 4 exons. The record is from RefSeq and is a predicted model, not a curated record. Lineage: Eukaryota; Metazoa; Chordata; Actinopteri; Cypriniformes; Cyprinidae.